UAUUUUUUCUCCUUCAUAUCCCGGAUGUACCAGCUGAAAUCUUGACUGUACCAAACGUUCUUUAGAGGUAGCAGAUGAGAAAACGAUUUAGAUAUUAUGCCACUGCAUAAGCCCACCUGGCCCAUUGAACCUGAAAUAUACUCCAGAAGCAUAUGUGACAGAUCAAAGAGCCAGGUCCAGCUAGACUCAUGCCUUGACGACAGGUAACAGG
Ylistrum balloti is the source of this 211-nucleotide long non-coding RNA. RefSeq lists it as uncharacterized. The transcript has 3 exons. The record is from RefSeq and is a predicted model, not a curated record. Lineage: Eukaryota; Metazoa; Mollusca; Bivalvia; Pectinida; Pectinidae.